Molecule: ribosomal RNA, 497 nt
Filed under: uncultured bacterium
Lineage: Bacteria
Description: partial 16S ribosomal RNA
Rfam family: Bacterial small subunit ribosomal RNA
Source: RNAcentral
GAUGAACGCUGGCGGCGUGCCUAAUACAUGCAAGUCGAGCGAACGGACGAGAAGCUUGCUUCUCUGAUGUUAGCGGCGGACGGGUGAGUAACACGUGGAUAACCUACCUAUAAGACUGGGAUAACUUCGGGAAACCGUAGCUAAUACCGGAUAAUAUUUUGAACCGCAUGGUUCAAAAGUGAAAGACGGUCUUGCUGUCACUUAUAGAUGGAUCCGCGCUGCAUUAGCUAGUUGGUAAGGUAACGGCUUACCAAGGCAACGAUGCAUAGCCGACCUGAGAGGGUGAUCGGCCACACUGGAACUGAGACACGGUCCAGACUCCUACGGGAGGCAGCAGUAGGGAAUCUUCCGCAAUGGGCGAAAGCCUGACGGAGCAACGCUGCGUGAGUGAUGAAGGUCUUCGGAUCGUAAAACUCUGUUAUUAGGGAAGAACAUAUGUGUAAGUAACUGUGCACAUCUUGACUGUACCUAAUCAGAAAGCCACGGCUAACUACGUG